AGCGCUGUGGCUUAGUGGGUAAAGCCACCACCUGCAGUGCCAGCAUCCCAUGUGGGCACUGGUUUGAGUCCUGUCUGCUCUG
RNAcentral lists this transfer RNA (82 nucleotides) under Oryctolagus cuniculus (rabbit). It matches the Rfam family "tRNA". Rfam says of the family: Transfer RNA (tRNA) molecules are approximately 80 nucleotides in length. Their secondary structure includes four short double-helical elements and three loops (D, anti-codon, and T loops). Lineage: Eukaryota; Metazoa; Chordata; Mammalia; Lagomorpha; Leporidae. The record is from Rfam by way of RNAcentral.